AGAGUUUGAUCAUGGCUCAGAACGAACGCUGGCGGCAUGCCUAACACAUGCAAGUCGAACGCUCACCGGGGUUUCGGCUCUGGUGGGAGUGGCGCACGGGUGAGUAGCGCGUGGGAACCUGCCCUUUUGUGGGGGAUAACCGAGGGAAACUUCGGCUAAUACCGCAUGCGCCCCUGGGGCGACCUGGAGGGAAAGAUUUAUCGCAGGAGGAGGGGCCCGCGUCGGAUUAGGUAGUUGGUGGGGUAACGGCCUACCAAGCCGAUGAUCCGUAGCUGGUCUGAGAGGAUGAUCAGCCACACUGGGACUGAGACACGGCCCAGACUCCUACGGGAGGCAGCAGUGGGGAAUAUUGGACAAUGGGCGCAAGCCUGAUCCAGCAAUGCCGCGUGAGUGAUGAAGGCCUUCGGGUUGUAAAGCUCUUUCGCCCGCGACGAUGAUGACGGUAGCGGGAGAAGAAGCCCCGGCUAACUUCGUGCCAGCAGCCGCGGUAAUACGAAGGGGGCGAGCGUUGCUCGGAAUCACUGGGCGUAAAGGGCGCGUAGGCGGCUCUGUUUGUCGCGUGUGAAAGCCCCGGGCUCAACCUGGGAGGUGCGCGCGAGACGGCGGGGCUGGAGUUCGGGAGAGGAGCGUGGAAUUCCCAGUGUAGAGGUGAAAUUCGUAGAUAUUGGGAAGAACACCGGUGGCGAAAGCGGCGCUCUGGACCGAGACUGACGCUGAGCGCGAAAGCGUGGGGAGCAAACAGGAUUAGAUACCCUGGUAGUCCCGCCGUAAACGAUGUGUGCUAGACGUUGGGAGGCCUAGCCUCUCGGUGUCGCAGCUAACGCGUAAGCACCCCGCUGGGGAGUACGGCCGCAAGGUUAAAACUCAAAGGAAUUGACGGGGCCCGCACAA
This 891-nucleotide ribosomal RNA is filed under the name uncultured bacterium. RNAcentral's name for it is "bacterial SSU rRNA". It matches the Rfam family "Bacterial small subunit ribosomal RNA", at positions 8 to 928 of the family's 1533-position model. The record is from RNAcentral.